RNAcentral lists this ribosomal RNA (923 nucleotides) under uncultured organism. RNAcentral's name for it is "bacterial SSU rRNA". It matches the Rfam family "Bacterial small subunit ribosomal RNA", at positions 1 to 917 of the family's 1533-position model. The record is from RNAcentral.
UGGAUCCAGACUUUGAUAUGGCUCAGGAUGAACGCUAGCUACAGGCUUAACACAUGCAAGUCGAGGGGCAGCAUGGUCUUAGCUUGCUAAGACUGAUGGCGACCGGCGCACGGGUGAGUAACACGUAUCCAACCUGCCGUCUACUCUUGGACAGCCUUCUGAAAGGAAGAUUAAUACAAGAUGGCAUCAUGAGUCCACAUGUUCACAUGAUUAAAGGUAUUCCGGUAGACGAUGGGGAUGCGUUCCAUUAGAUAGUAGGCGGGGUAACGGCCCACCUAGUCUUCGAUGGAUAGGGGUUCUGAGAGGAAGGUCCCCCACAUUGGAACUGAGACACGGUCCAAACUCCUACGGGAGGCAGCAGUGAGGAAUAUUGGUCAAUGGGCGAGAGCCUGAACCAGCCAAGUAGCGUGAAGGAUGACUGCCCUAUGGGUUGUAAACUUCUUUUAUAAAGGAAUAAAGUCGGGUAUGCAUACCCGUUUGCAUGUACUUUAUGAAUAAGGAUCGGCUAACUCCGUGCCAGCAGCCGCGGUAAUACGGAGGAUCCGAGCGUUAUCCGGAUUUAUUGGGUUUAAAGGGAGCGUAGAUGGAUGUUUAGGUCAGUUGUGAAAGUUUGCGGCUCAACCGUAAAAUUGCAGUUGAUACUGGAUAUCUUGAGUGCAGUUGAGGCAGGCGGAAUUCGUGGUGUAGCGGUGAAAUGCUUAGAUAUCACGAGGAACUCCGAUUGCGAAGGCAGCCUGCUAAGCUGCAACUGACAUUGAGGCUCGAAAGUGUGGGUAUCAAACAGGAUUAGAUACCCUGGUAGUCCACACGGUAAACGAUGAAUACUCGCUGUUUGCGAUAUACUGCAAGCGGCCAAGCGAAAGCGUUAAGUAUUCCACCUGGGGAGUACGCCGGCAACGGUGCAACUCAAAUGAAUUGACGGA